CUUAAUCCUAUCUAGUCUGGUGUGCCCGCACAUCCACCUAAGCAUUCUCAUCUCCGCAACCUUCAUUCUUUGAACAUGGGAGUUUUUCACGGGCUAGCACUCCGUCCCAUACAACAUAGCAGGUCUAAUCACGGCUCUAUAGAAUUUCCCCUUGAGUUUGUGUGGAACUUUCUUGUCACACAGGACCCCUGAGGCGAGCCUCCAU
Molecule: long non-coding RNA, 205 nt
Filed under: Nicotiana benthamiana
Lineage: Eukaryota; Viridiplantae; Streptophyta; Magnoliopsida; Solanales; Solanaceae
Description: long non-coding RNA (NBEN_LNC037703)
Source: RNAcentral